GACGAACGCUGGCGGCGUGCUUAACACAUGCAAGUCGAACGGUAAGGCCCUUCGGGGUACACGAGUGGCGAACGGGUGAGUAACACGUGGGUGAUCUACCCUGCACUUCGGGAUCAGCCUGGGCAACUGGGUCUAAUACCGGAUAGGACCACUGCCUGCAUGGGUGGUGGUGGAAAGCUUUUGCGGUGUGGGAUGGGCCCGCGGCCUAUCAGCUUGUUGGUGGGGUGAUGGCCUAACAAGGCGACGACGGGUAGCGGGCCUGAGAGGGUGACCGGCCACACUGGGACUGAGAUACGGCCCAGACUCCUACGGGAGGCAGCAGUGGGGAAUAUUGCACAAUGGGCGCAAGCCUGAUGCAGCGACGCCGCGUGAGGGAUGACGGCCUUCGGGUUGUAAACCUCUUUCAGCACCGACGAAGCGCAAGUGACGGUAGGUGCAGAAGAAGGACCGGCCAACUACGUGCCAGCCGCCGCCGUAA
Molecule: ribosomal RNA, 478 nt
Filed under: uncultured bacterium
Lineage: Bacteria
Description: partial 16S ribosomal RNA
Rfam family: Bacterial small subunit ribosomal RNA
Source: RNAcentral